UAUCUCAUACUUCUGAUUUUAUGUGAACUGGUAUUCAACUUCACCAACAAAUAUGAGGUGCUCGUCAUAUUGUCACAAAGCUAGUAGUCAUGGAAUUGCAUAUGGGAAAUGAAGCAGGUCAUGGAGAUGCAUAUUUUUAAUUUUAGUGUUUACCAAAGAAGAAUAGAUACUUAGAUAUCAUAAUUUUGUUGUGUUUGUUAUUAAGUUUGAACCAUUAGCAAACUUAGUAUUUUGAUACUUAAGUAGUCAUGCAUAUAGAUUGUUAUACUGAAUUUUUGCACUAUGUAUGUAAAGCUACCGGAGCUCAUUUGUANNNNNNNNNNNNNNUGAAUCGUUAUUUUAUUUUGAAUGCAUGUUAUUUUUCUAUAUUUUGGUCAAUAUUAUUUUUCCAUUGAUGAUCAAUAAUUAGGAGUAAAGAAAAAAAAUUGGUGUAAAAAAAAACAUUUAAAA
RNAcentral lists this long non-coding RNA (450 nucleotides) under Trifolium pratense (red clover). RNAcentral describes it as "long non-coding RNA (TPRA_LNC009481)". Lineage: Eukaryota; Viridiplantae; Streptophyta; Magnoliopsida; Fabales; Fabaceae. The record is from RNAcentral.